RNAcentral lists this ribosomal RNA (253 nucleotides) under uncultured bacterium. RNAcentral describes it as "partial 16S ribosomal RNA". It matches the Rfam family "Bacterial small subunit ribosomal RNA", at positions 524 to 776 of the family's 1533-position model. The record is from RNAcentral.
UACGAAGGGGGCUAGCGUUGCUCGGAAUUACUGGGCGUAAAGCGCACGUAGGCGGUUCGCCAAGUUUGGAGUGACAGUUGUCGGCUCAACCGAUAAAGGACUUCAAAAACUGGUGAGCUUGAGAGCGAGAGAGGAACAUGGAACUCCAGGUGUAGUAGUGAAAUGCGUAGAUAUCUGGAAGAACACCAAAGGCGAAGGCAAUGUUCUGGCUCGUUUCUGACGCUCAGGUGCGAAAGCCAGGGGAGCGAACGGG